This 482-nucleotide ribosomal RNA is filed under the name Salmonella enterica subsp. enterica serovar Bareilly. RNAcentral describes it as "partial 23S ribosomal RNA". It matches the Rfam family "Bacterial large subunit ribosomal RNA", at positions 711 to 1191 of the family's 2925-position model. Lineage: Bacteria; Pseudomonadati; Pseudomonadota; Gammaproteobacteria; Enterobacterales; Enterobacteriaceae. The record is from RNAcentral.
AGACCCGAAACCCGGUGAUCUAGCCAUGGGCAGGUUGAAGGUUGGGUAACACUAACUGGAGGACCGAACCGACUAAUGUUGAAAAAUUAGCGGAUGACCUGUGGCUGGGGGUGAAAGGCCAAUCAAACCGGGAGAUAGCUGGUUCUCCCCGAAAGCUAUUUAGGUAGCGCCUCGUGAAUUCAUCUCCGGGGGUAGAGCACUGUUUCGGCUAGGGGGCCAUCCCGGCUUACCAACCCGAUGCAAACUGCGAAUACCGGAGAAUGUUAUCACGGGAGACACACGGCGGGUGCUAACGUCCGUCGUGAAGAGGGAAACAACCCAGACCGCCAGCUAAGGUCCCAAAGUCAUGGUUAAGUGGGAAACGAUGUGGGAAGGCACAGACAGCCAGGAUGUUGGCUUAGAAGCAGCCAUCAUUUAAAGAAAGCGUAAUAGCUCACUGGUCGAGUCGGCCUGCGCGGAAGAUGUAACGGGGCUAAACCAUG